Molecule: long non-coding RNA, 687 nt
Organism: Monopterus albus (swamp eel)
Lineage: Eukaryota; Metazoa; Chordata; Actinopteri; Synbranchiformes; Synbranchidae
Exons: 5
Source: RefSeq, a predicted model, not a curated record
AUGAGAAGGAACAUUUCACUGUGGUCGCUGCAACAACUGCCAGUGUAAAUAGAAAGUAAAGCCAGUUUCACUUUGGCCUCGGUUCAAAACUGUAGUCAGUUGUUUAGCAACACCAUUUAAGUGAAAAAGAAAGAAGAAGAAGAAAGAAAAGUUUGAGAGUUUUCUAGUGUUCCUUGUGAUAACAGCUAUGUAGUUAGGGCUACUAGCUAUAGCGAGCAGGUAGGAAGUCUGAAAUGGACAUUAACCACUUUGCCUUCAUGAAAAAGGGAGAACUGACUUCAGCAUCAAAUUAGUCACAUGCACGUUUGUUUCUGAGGAUCAUCAGACUUCUGCCUGGUCAACACACCACUUCAAGAUCAGUUUGAGGACUUCUGCUCAGCAGUGGCAGCAGGUGUGGUCAGACUCUCGGGCUUCACAAUCUGAUGACGUACUCUGCAUAUGCCAGCCCAUUGACACUGGGUCGUCCUAUAACAGAGUGGUGCCCAGGAGGGGCAUGGGCCAUUUUCAUUGCGCUGAACUGAAGAAAGGAUUUACCCAGUGCCACUCUGCAGAACAGCAUUUGCCUACAAACACAAGGACACACAAAAGCCAUGCAGUCAACGCAGGAGCGGUCUUUGUGUGUGGGGCACCCUGUGCCUCCGCCUAUCCCAUACACAUACUGGUUGCUUUUGGAGGAGUUCUCUGCAA